This 1374-nucleotide ribosomal RNA is filed under the name Triticum aestivum (bread wheat). Its description in RNAcentral is "partial small subunit ribosomal RNA". Lineage: Eukaryota; Viridiplantae; Streptophyta; Magnoliopsida; Poales; Poaceae. The record is from RNAcentral.
AUGGCAAUGCCAACACCGCGUGCUGCACAGGGUAGUCAAGCCGAGCCCACUGCCGGUGCCGCUGUCUUGCCUGAAGAUGUGCUGCGUGACAUCCUCCUGCGCCUGCCGGCAAAGACGCUCUGCUGCUUCCGAGCCGUGUGCCGAUCCUGGAGGUCCUUCCUGUCCGACCCGCUCUUCAUCGCAGCGCACAAGUCAAAGCACCCUGGGCCGCUCAUUGUCACAUGCAUCCGUGAUCUGCUCGGAGACGGGGGAGGGACCAUUAACAUAAUGGACUUGUCUGGCCAUGUCGUUAGGCGGAUGACCACCAGCAUAGAGGAUGCCACAUUGCUGUGCACACGCCUGGAUCUCAUCUGUGUCACCGGAGAGAAGGACUGCCACACAAGCGGUCACGUAAUUGACCCGGCCACAGGGCAUACUCUGGCUUUGCCCUACAAGCGCGCACAGGAGCACGCGCAUGUCAAAGCUUUCUUCUCCUAUGCAUUUGAGUUGGGACAGGUUGUCUCCACGGGAGAGUACAAGGCCCUCCGCUGCGUUAGCGUCGAUAGCUCGUGUCACGGCUCCGAGCCGAUGAUCUCCGAGGUCAUCACCCUUGGUGGUGGCCGUGGCGGCGGCGAUCGUCAUGCAAGAUGGAGGGAGAGACCAUGUCCUCCGUGCCCUGUCACUAGUGGCUCGAAGAAAAGUGUGGUUGUCAAUGGAGUUGUCUACUUCUUGUUGGAUUUCGGAAGCCACCGCUUUACAUAUAGUGGAGACCGCGUCGAGCCAUGUAGCAUUGCUUGUUUCGACCUCGAGGCAGAGGAGUGGAUGGGCACGCUCCGAGGUCCACUCCAAGUGCGUAACUUUAUCGAGGCCGGUAAUGGAAGGUGUGAUUACAGUGAUCUAUUCCGUAAACUUUCGUUGGUCAAUAUGAAUGGGUUCUUGGUUAUGGUACACGAUCCUAUGGGUUACCCUUUGGACCUGUGGUUUUUGGUUGACAUUGAGAAAUGUCUCUGGGAUAGAAAGUACAGCAUUGGUUUUCAAUACGAAAAUCUCUUUGCACAACCCUUGCUGGUUCUAGACGACGGCAGAAUAGCCAUCGGCACAUCAGAUUUGCUGCGAAUAUAUGAUCCGGUUUCAGAGAGUUAUACUGAAUUUCAGAUGGCAGGCUCCAGAUUGUUUGCUAUAUACACAGGAAAUCUGUUGAGUUUGAAGAGCAGUUUUACCUCUGAGGCUAAACAUUGUACAACAUGCGGGUGCUACUUUAUCCCCGAAGCCGACCAACAUUGCGAAGAGUGUAUGUGGCAUCUGUAUUGGCUGUCGGUGGAUCCCGAUUCAGAGUACCACAAAUCACGAAUGCCACUAAGCUUGAGUGUCAUCCCUCUUUUCCCUGAAACAUAG